Molecule: ribosomal RNA, 278 nt
Filed under: uncultured bacterium
Lineage: Bacteria
Description: partial 16S ribosomal RNA
Rfam family: Bacterial small subunit ribosomal RNA
Source: RNAcentral
AACGAACGCUGGCGGCAGGCUUAACACAUGCAAGUCGAGCGCACUCUUCGGAGUGAGCGGCAGACGGGUGAGUAACGCGUGGGAAUCUACCCAUCUCUACGGAAUAACUCAGGGAAACUUGUGCUAAUACCGUAUACGCCCUUCGGGGGAAAGAUUUAUCGGAGAUGGAUGAGCCCGCGUUAGAUUAGCUAGUUGGUGGGGUAAUGGCCUACCAAGGCGACGAUCUAUAGCUGGUCUGAGAGGAUGAUCAGCCACACUGGGACUGAGACACGGCCCAG